This 1707-nucleotide long non-coding RNA is filed under the name Dromaius novaehollandiae (emu). RNAcentral's name for it is "lncRNA (ENSDNVG00000017988.1)". Lineage: Eukaryota; Metazoa; Chordata; Aves; Casuariiformes; Dromaiidae. The record is from RNAcentral.
GCGUUUUGACCCAGCGCUGCAGUUCUUGUAUAAAAAAGUCCGCGACAGCCAGGCGUUGGGGAGGAUUCACCGGAUAUCAACGAUUAGCAGCAUAUAUCCAGCAGCUUCUCUUAGCUUCCUAAAAAAGUCAGGUACUGAGCAGCUUCCUUCUAAAAAGUUUAUUCUCAAAGGAUUAGAAGUUUACUUGCCCCAUGUUCUCGCAGAAAGUCCCUUCUGUUUGUGUGUUCCGAAGAUGCAUGCUUUUUGUCUUCUGAGGAGUAUUUUCUUUACCAAGCUUUAUUUCUGUUGCGCGAGUAUUUCUGUUUACUCUUUGUAUUAGUUUUUGUUUGGGGGGAUUUUUUUGUAUUGGGCUCAGUGCAGUUCAGGAAUGUAAAUUUAYUGUGGGUUUUAAAUAUGAAGACCUUAAUGCCCAGUUUUGCUUCUUCCAGGUGGAAUUUUUUAUAACGCUGCUGUGCAUGAUAUAGAUAUUAUCAGUUUGUUGUUGGGAGAGAGUGCACCAGAUACAGUAUUUUCACUGGGACAUGCAUUCUGUGCAGAUAUGGCCUACUUGAAGGAUGCAGACACUGUAGCAGUCAGCAUGAAAUUUCCUAGCGGAGCAAUUGUUACUUUGGACAUCAGUCAGCACUGCACUAAAAGCUGUGAUCAGAGACUAGAGGUUCACGGUUCUCAAGGAACGUUACGGGUAGAUAAUCAGAAUCCCUUGGGAAUUACGGAGCACGGAACUUCUGUAUCCAUCUAUUCACASACCCAAGCCGAUCGUUACAGAGAUGCACACAGAGAGCUCUUUCGACACUUUCUUAGAACCCUGAAAGGCAAAGAACCUCCCGUGAUAACCAAAGAACAGUUUCUCUGGACAAUUCAGGUAGCGGCAGCUGCUGAACAGUCCUGGAGAAAUGGAUCUGCUGUUGACUUACGCAAUGAAGCAAUAGAUUCGUCUGUAAUCAAGACUGAAAUAAUGUGAUACGCACUGCUGUUUUUUGAGAAAGCAAUCUGUGAAUGUGURCAGUGGGCCUGUACAACGUCUGUUACCGAGAGAGGUGCGUGUCGGCUGGGCUGCUCAGUGCGUGGAUCCAGCGUUGUCUGAUUACUCACUGCAACAGCGAGGUAGCUGUCGGCGUGCUCGUUUUCCUUGCUUAAAUGCAAACCUUGUAUGUUAAUACUUUAGUAGCAAAAGUGGACUAAUAAUCGCUUUCCUUGAGUGUAGGAAGGGGGUGAUUACAUAUUUUAAAGAUAUUUUUUUACAGUCCAGCAUAUUUGGAAUAUACAUCACAGAAAAAGAUAGUGCCUUCAACAACAGGCAAGUCUGCUUUUAAGCCAGGUUAUUUGUAUCUUUUUAUUCUUACGUUGAGCUUAUUGCAGAUAUAUAGGUUUGACUAUUCUUGUCUGUAUUUCUCAUAUGCCAGUUUUCAAGCUCUUUUGAAAGCUUUUUUAUUGUAUUAAAAGAACAUUCUUGCCUUGAGUGUUAGCUGAUACACACGUCACUUUUCUUCUUGAAAGAUUCUUUAAUUCUGUCACUUUCCAAUCCUAUAUUUGCAGCAUAAGACUAAAACUAGAAAUAGCUGUGACAUUUAUAACUAAACACAAUUCUCUUGUGGAAAUUGUUUUUAACAGUGUAAUUUUUUCAAACAUGGGAAAGCUAUGGCUGAAUGAUAAAGAUUACUAUCCAUUUCCUACCCUAUUUUCUAGUCAUUUCUUGGAAAAAUAGUU